GAUGAACGCUGGCGGCGUGCCUAAUACAUGCAAGUCGAGCGAAUGGAUUGAGAGCUUGCUCUUAUGAAGUUAGCGGCGGACGGGUGAGUAACACGUGGGUAACCUGCCCAUAAGACUGGGAUAACUCCGGGAAACCGGGGCUAAUACCGGAUAACAUUUUGAACCGCAUGGUUCGAAAUUGAAAGGCGGCUUCGGCUGUCACUUAUGGAUGGACCCGCGUCGCAUUAGCUAGUUGGUGAGGUAACGGCUCACCAAGGCAACGAUGCGUAGCCGACCUGAGAGGGUGAUCGGCCACACUGGGACUGGGACACGGCUCAGACUCCUACGGGAGGCAGCAGUAGGGAAUCUUCCGCAAUGGACGAAAGUCUGACGGAGCAACGCCGCGUGAGUGAUGAAGGCUUUCGGGUCGUAAAACUCUGUUGUUAGGGAAGAACAAGUGCUAGUUGAAUAAGCUGGCACCUUGACGGUACCUAACCAGAAAGCCACGGCUAACUACGUGCCAGCCGCCGCGGUAA
This 515-nucleotide ribosomal RNA is filed under the name uncultured bacterium. RNAcentral describes it as "partial 16S ribosomal RNA". It matches the Rfam family "Bacterial small subunit ribosomal RNA", at positions 28 to 523 of the family's 1533-position model. The record is from RNAcentral.